Molecule: long non-coding RNA, 444 nt
Organism: Pundamilia nyererei
Lineage: Eukaryota; Metazoa; Chordata; Actinopteri; Cichliformes; Cichlidae
Exons: 3
Source: RefSeq, a predicted model, not a curated record
AAGGAGUGGUGGCUCUCCUUCAGCUCCAUCCAGCCCUCUGACUCUGGACAGUAUUAUUGUACAGCUGAGAAUGACCUGGGGAAGAGGACAUCUGAAUCUGUUUUAAUCGACGUGAAAUAUGCUCCAAAGCCUCCCUCUGUGUCAGUGCGUCCUUCUGGUGAAAUCAAAGACGGCGGAUCAGUGACUCUGACCUGUAGCAGUGAAGCUAACCCAGCAGCUACGUAUGUCUGGUACAAGAUAAGUGGAAGAACACCUCUUAGUGAAGAACGACAGCUUGUCUUCAGAUCCAUCCAGCCCUCUGACUCUGGACAGUAUUACUGUAUAGCUGUUAAUAAAUUAGGGAGGAGGACAUCUGAAUAUAUUUCUAUUGAUGGGAAAUAUGCUCCAAAGUUUGUGUCAGUGAUGGUGAGCCCUUCUAAUGAAUUCAGGGAGGGCGGAUCAGUG